UACGUAGGGGGCGAGCGUUGUCCGGAGUACUGGGCGUAAAGCGCACGCAGGCGGUGCUGCGCGUUUGGGGUUACAGCUCCCGGCUCAACCGGGAGAGCGCCUCGAAGACGGCAGCACUUGAGGGCCAGAGAGGGACACGGAACUCCGGGUGGAGUGGUGAAAUGCGUAGAUAUCCGGAAGAACACCAAAGGCGAAGGCAGUGUCCUGGCUGGUACCUGACGCUCAGGUGCGAAAGCUAGGGGAGCGAACGGG
Molecule: ribosomal RNA, 252 nt
Filed under: uncultured bacterium
Lineage: Bacteria
Description: partial 16S ribosomal RNA
Rfam family: Bacterial small subunit ribosomal RNA
Source: RNAcentral